GACGAACGCUGGCGGCGUGCUUAACACAUGCAAGUCGAACGGAAAGGCCCUGCUUGCAGGGUACUCGAGUGGCGAACGGGUGAGUAACACGUGGGUGAUCUGCCCUGCACUUCGGGAUAAGCCUUGGAAACUGGGUCUAAUACCGGAUAGGAGCCAUUUUUAGUGUGAUGGUUGGAAAGUUUUUUCGGUGUAGGAUGAGCUCGCGGCCUAUCAGCUUGUUGGUGGGGUAAUGGCCUACCAAGGCGGCGACGGGUAGCCGGCCUGAGAGGGUGGAAGGCCACAUUGGGACUGAGAGACGGCACAGACGCCGACGGGAGGCAGCAGUGGGGAAUAUUGCACAAUGGGCGCAAGUCUGAUGCAGCGACGCCGCGUGGGGGAUGACGGCCUUCGGGUUGUAAACUCCUUUCGCUAGGGACGAAGCUUUUUGUGACGGUACCUAGAGAAGAAGCACCGGCUAACUACGUG
This 465-nucleotide ribosomal RNA is filed under the name uncultured bacterium. RNAcentral's name for it is "partial 16S ribosomal RNA". It matches the Rfam family "Bacterial small subunit ribosomal RNA", at positions 28 to 507 of the family's 1533-position model. The record is from RNAcentral.